This 253-nucleotide ribosomal RNA is filed under the name uncultured bacterium. RNAcentral describes it as "partial 16S ribosomal RNA". It matches the Rfam family "Bacterial small subunit ribosomal RNA", at positions 524 to 776 of the family's 1533-position model. The record is from RNAcentral.
UACGAAGGGUGCUAGCGUUGUUCGGAAUUAUUGGGCGUAAAGCGUAUGUAGGCGGUUUGGUAAGUCGAUUGUGAAAUCCCCGAGCUUAACUUGGGAAUUGCGGUCGAAACUGCCUUGCUUGAAUCUGGUGGGGGAUAGUGGAAUUCUUAGUGUAGGGGUGAAAUCCGUAGAUAUUAAGAGGAACACCGGCGGCGAAAGCGACUAUCUACACCAGCAUUGACGCUGAGAUACGAAAGCGUGGGGAGCAAACAGG